ACAGUGGUUAGAUGCCAAGAAGUAGGUGGCAAUGCCUUAACUGUAUGCGUGUUGUUAGGCCCGAGAGCCUCUUCCAUCCUUAAAAAAAUUGCUUAGAUGCC
Pipistrellus kuhlii (Kuhl's pipistrelle) is the source of this 101-nucleotide long non-coding RNA. RefSeq lists it as uncharacterized. Lineage: Eukaryota; Metazoa; Chordata; Mammalia; Chiroptera; Vespertilionidae. The transcript is spliced from 3 exons. The record is from RefSeq and is a predicted model, not a curated record.